RNAcentral lists this long non-coding RNA (1299 nucleotides) under Vulpes vulpes (red fox). RNAcentral's name for it is "lncRNA (ENSVVUG00000029258.1)". The record is from RNAcentral. Lineage: Eukaryota; Metazoa; Chordata; Mammalia; Carnivora; Canidae.
AUGCUUGCAGUCCGGGCGGCUCGAUUUGCACCUCCUAUGCACGAGGGGGCGCGAAGAGCCCGCGCGCUGGUGCAGCUCCGCAGACGCGGCUCUCGGCCGCAGCCCACGCUCCAGGUGCCUUUCCGCCGGCGCUGGGUGGGUGGAGGGUGUCCCUGCGGCUGCCGCGGCCCUUCGCGUUGGUCCCGAGCCGUCUCGAGCCGGGCCGCAGCGUCUCCUCCUGUCCCCGCCGCGACGGUCCCGGUGCCCCGGGUGACUGCAGGGCCGCGCUGCGCGGGGACCCCGGCGGCCUCCAAGGCUGGUGCUGCACUCCUCUUCCCCCCGACAGGAGGGGAAACUGAGGCCCGGGGCGGGCGCGGAGAGCCGGCGGAGGUCAGCCCCGGUUCCAGGCCCCGCUCCUGGCUCCGGGGCGGGCCUCUGGGGGCGGGUCCUGGAGGAAGGGGCUCCCGGGACGGUCCCGCUGAGCGCGGGCGGCGGGUGCGCAGCCGAGGCCCACCGCGGCCCGGGAUGCGCACGCGCACGCGCCCCUCCGCCCCCGGCCGUGGGUCGGCCGCCUACCAGGUGAGCGGAGCCGCCUGGGCCUGGGCCCACCUGCGGUCCGCAGCGCUCGGGAGGGAGAGUGCGCGAGCCGGGCCGUGCGGAGCGCGUGUCGGGGCCUCCGGUCGGCGGCGCCCGCGGGGCCCUGAGCGGCCGAGGGUGGUUCCCGCCUCCCCCCGCUCCUGGUGCCCGGGCCGGCGGGCUCUGCGGGACGGUGAUGCGCGGCGCCCGAGGCCGGCCCUGUGUGCAGGGGUGAGGCCUGGGAGGGCUGCCUUGGAUCUGGAGAUUGUUGGAGGAAUCCUGAGGGGAUGGAGGCACUGGUGCUCUCGGAUUGACCUUGGUCCCAGCUGUCCUGGAGGGACCUCAUCAUGAUUGUCGUGUGGGUGGAUCAUGGACAUUGGAGUAGCAUAAUGAAGAAAGCUGUUGCCGUGUGAACGUUGCCAGACCUUCUCACCAUGUUGCCUUAGCAAAGCAUGGAAGGGUUUUUCUCUCUGUGUAAGCAGGCCAGAAGGAAAGCCCUGGGACCCUGGACGCUUGAGGUGUGGAGCCAGAGACUUGAGCUGGCUCUGCCGUUCCCCCCCUGCAGGAGUCAGAAUGCCAUGGACCAGGAAGACUGGUUUGCUUUGACCUGGGCCAGGUUGUCCAGCGGCAUCCAUGUCUCCCCGCCUUCUCCUCCUCUGACUUUUCAAGAGUUUUCAGCACUGUACAUCCUUGUCCUCUCACCUGCCUAAUAAAUCUUGAAACUACCCUGAAGCUUGUUUUUGU